UACGUGGGGGGCAAGCGUUGUUCGGAAUUACUGGGCGUAAAGGGCGCGUAGGCGGCACGGCAAGUCGGGAGUGAAAGGCCUGGGCUCAACCGAGGAACUGCUUUCGAGACUGCCGAGCUAGAGUGCGGAAGGGGCAACUGGAAUUCCCAGUGUAGCGGUGAAAUGCGUAGAUAUUGGGAAGAACACCUGAGGCGAAGGCGGGUUGCUGGGCCGACACUGACGCUGAGGCGCGAAAGCCAGGGGAGCAAACGGG
Molecule: ribosomal RNA, 253 nt
Filed under: uncultured bacterium
Lineage: Bacteria
Description: partial 16S ribosomal RNA
Rfam family: Bacterial small subunit ribosomal RNA
Source: RNAcentral